This 309-nucleotide unclassified non-coding RNA is filed under the name Hevea brasiliensis (rubber tree). The record is from RNAcentral. Lineage: Eukaryota; Viridiplantae; Streptophyta; Magnoliopsida; Malpighiales; Euphorbiaceae.
GUUUGAACAUCAGAGGCUGUCAGAAAAGUUGCAGGAGAUUCCCAUUCUAGAGUAAAAGUGGGAGAUGAUUACUAUAGACUUCGUGAUUGGAUUGCCUCAUACCACACGAGGACAUGAUUCUAUAUGGGUAAUUGUGGAUCGUCUAACUAGGUCAGCUCACUUUUUACCUGUGCAGACCACCUAUUCUAUUGCCCAAUGCACCAGGCUCUAUAUUCGUGAAAUGGUCAGAUCACAUGGAAUUUCUGCAUCCAUAAUAUCUGACAGGGGGCCCUAGUUCACUUCUCAGUUCCGAAGGAAGCUACAAGAGGC